This is a long non-coding RNA of Cephus cinctus (wheat stem sawfly), 3368 nucleotides long. RefSeq lists it as uncharacterized. The record is from RefSeq and is a predicted model, not a curated record. NCBI's taxonomy places the organism in Eukaryota, Metazoa, Arthropoda, Insecta, Hymenoptera, Cephidae. The transcript has 3 exons.
CUUGGACAGACAAGAAUCCGUUGGUCAGUUUGGCAAACGUUAAUUUGAACAUGACUCUUGGAGGACUCCACGUGCACAAUCUCGGACUGGUUCUGACUCAUAGUGCUCUUGUACGAGAAGAAGGAUAUAAGAGGUAGAAGAGUAAACGGAAUGAAAGAAAGGACGAGGAGAGGACGAAGAAGAGGGGAAAAAAGGAAGAAAGCAAGAAACGAAAGAAAGAAAGUCGUGACUCGGCAAACAAACCGCCAGAACCUUGUGCAGGCAUCUAAAAGUCUGCUGGAACUUUUUCAGGCUUUUUAAGGGUCUUUAUGCUGAUUUUAUGGCAUUGGUUUUCGACUGGAACGUCUUCAGGCUCUUGUGAAUUUCUCUCUUGCUCUCUCCCGAUGCUCUCAUGUAUUUCCUCUCUCUCAAUCGUCAGGACCUCAAACCUCGCUACCACCUUAACCUCCAAAAAGAGUAGGUAAGGCCUAAGGUCUACCUGUCUGUCUAGCUACAUUUCUCCUUGUCCGACUGGCUGCUCUGUCAGUACGAUUGUGCAUAUUAUGAUAUUUGCAGACGCAGACAAGUUUCGCACCUUCCACACGAGUAUUUGCCGUGCGACACCUUCGCCACGGAAACCGGCCGCUUAUUUGCUUAUUGACUUAUUUACUCCGACGCCAUGGCGUAGCGUUGUGUACCGUGCUCUCUGUUCGCCCUACGGUGUCCUGAGUGCUUCUCAUACCGGAGGACGCCUGAGGACACGUGAGGAUCCUUUGGAAAUCUCUGACGAUGAGUAUCAACCACAUGACUUAACCCAACCCAACCUUCGCUUCUACUCUAUACUCAAAACGAUCAUUCUUCAUCCUUGACAGCCCUUAUUCGUGUACUCGCCAAAUCCUGAUGCUCCGCGUGUAUACUUUGCCAAUGACUGUACUGAAGCUGUGAAGGCUAUGACCCCUUGACGAGGAAUACUGGCUUUGUAUGAAAACCAAAUUUGCCCAACGCUGUACGGUAUUGAAUUUAGUCACUUUUUUUAUGGUAAAAAUAAUUUUGUUUAACAUUUAAACUACAGAUCAAUCAACGUUAUGUAUAAUAAGAAUUGAUCUGGACACUUCAAAAAUUAAUAGAUACUAAUAGGUAUAGAGUUCUAUGUAAAUAUUGUACUCCGCCUUGAAAUAUAGCUAAAAACGAACACUUUUGGAAAUAAAAAAUUUAUAAUUAAUAAAUGAUAAUACUUCUUGACAAAGUACACAAGCUUGCAUUGGUGUACACAGCUGCGAAUUGCAAGGCGGUUAACAAUGAUCGCAUACCACCUUUAAAGCGUGGUCGACUUUAGUCUGUUCGUUUUCUUUUCAGGAAACUCCACGCUACCUCUUCGUCUAACUAGAUGCAUAACGCAACGUAACGCAAUAGCUUACAGCAACACUCGUUGAAAACUGGCACGCGGCUAACUCUGCCUAUAAGGAAUCAUUGCACGAUCGCUUAUGUCGCUCAGCUUUGCGAUAUAAUCGCUCGCAUAGAAAUACAAGCACAUAAAUAUUCAAGAAAUUAAAUCAGCCACAGUAUUUAAGCCAAUCUAAAAACCGUAAUAAACGCGUGAUAACUUUAUCAGUUUCUAAUACGACCAAUCACAGAAACCUGUCCGUAAUAACAAGAUUCUUCUAAAAAGUCUCGACCGAUCUUCCACUUCAUAUUUACCCGCGCGAAACCGGACCUACGUAAACGUAAACACGCCUAUCUACUAUUCACAAUCUUUAGCCAGGCAGUAGACUACGAUAAAGAAAAAUUGUCAUAUCGUCUUGUGGCUCUCGGCAGGAUCUUGUUAUCUCCCGUAAAUUUUUCCAGAAUCAGAUGCUCAGUAACGCAAGUAGAUCGCACAAGUUCCAACGGCGUCUCGACGCCUUCAUUCCCUGGCUUACAGAGGUCUGCAUGCGACUCUUAAAGCUGCACUGUUGUUUACAGUAUCGGCCAUCAGGGGGAUGACCAUAGGACUCCUGGUCUAGGGAUGGAUUUCAAAAGGUACCACGGAGGUACCCAAGGCAUUCAACUCUGGUCUUGCACCCGUGGAUGUCGAUGUCGACGUGGACGUUGGUGUGGAUGUGGAUGUGGAUGGAGAGACUUGUGCGAGUCUCACAAAAAGACAAGCUAGCACAUGGACGCCGGUUGGCGGUGGCCAGACGCCACGACACGCCACUCCAUUCCACUCGACUGUACUCUACUCUCUACUCUCUCUCUACUCUCCUCUUGAGGCUACAGUGUUACUCUUGGGUCCAGGGUCCAUGGUCCGUGGCCACGAGGAGGACCUGGUUGUUCUGCAGAAUCGUGGACGCCGUGCCCUUUCUAUAUAUACGGGGUUGGAACUGUGUACAGGGGCCCAAGGAGACAGCAUACCUCAUGCAGUCAUGCCACGAGGCCCACGAGUCCUAACUACAAGGUGCUCAACUUUGUUUGCAUCUAACUCUCCAGACGGAUCUGAUCUGGUGCACAGAAAGAGUAAAAACAAAAAGAAAUAUUAGGCCUUAGGUAGUUCAUAAAUUGUCUUUUGUUUAAUUCUUCCCUGAAGCUCUCUUCUGUAUUCUUCUAUAAUCUUCUCACUUCCAUCCACAGUCUCUCGUCGAUUGCCCAUGUCACCAAAACCAAUCAAAAGGAUGAAUCCAUCACUUAAACCUCCAGCAUCAAGCUCGACAAGGGUCUCUCAUCCACUGUCAGCAUAAUCAUCUCAUAAGUAAAGUGACCCGUCAGGAAUGCCACCCGGAAAAAGACUUGGGGCUCGUUUACACGGGAACUUUAUACCCGGCACUUAACGUAGAGGAACCAUCGUUUUCCCAGGAAGUGAGUGUCUCGUCUCGGUUUCAUUGGCUCCGGAGUCCUCGUGACGCGUCGCACAUUAGUCUCCAGCAACGGGCCGACCGGGCUGGUCGGUUCAUGAACCCGGUAGAACCUGGAAGCCAGAACUACCAUGGCUAUCGACAAUAAAUUUUUCCAGCAACUCGACAAGUCUCUCGCACCAGGUUACAUAAAUAUCUAUACAUACCCCUUUAACGAAAUGUAACCAGUUUCGUUUUUCAUUGAAGACCAUCAGCGACCGCAGGCCACCGGCUUACCAGACUUAUCGAGCUUAGGUCGGUUCGAAGCUCGAAAACUUCAUUUAGCUUCUUCCACUGGAUCCCCUCAACUGACUCGUGAACUUUGACUCCGUCGUUCUCUCUCUACCUCUCACUCGUUCUCUCUUUUUAUCUCUGUCCCCUCGCUCCUCUUCCUUCUGUCCAGAUUGAAACUCAAACCUGCAGGUCGCGUGGGCGCUGCUGCGUGCGGUGAAUGACCGGAGGGCAAGGACGCCACAAGGACAUGCGAACGUGUUACGGCUCUGCGCACUCAUACGCCCUUAC